GACGAACGCUGGCGGCGUGCCUAAUACAUGCAAGUCGAGCGGAAACUUGAAAGCUUGCUUUCUAAGUUUAGCGGCGGACGGGUGAGUAACACGUGGGCAACCUGCCUAUAAGACUGGGAUAACUUCGGGAAACCGGAGCUAAUACCGGAUAAUAUAAAAGAUCACAUGGUCUUUUAUUGAAAGAUGGCUUCGGCUAUCACUUAUAGAUGGGCCCGCGGCGCAUUAGCUAGUUGGUGAGGGUAAUGGCUCACCAAGGCGACGAUGCGUAGCCGACCUGAGAGGGUGAUCGGCCACACUGGGACUGAGACACGGCCCAGACUCCUACGGGAGGCAGCAGUAGGGAAUCUUCCGCAAUGGACGAAAGUCUGACGGAGCAACGCCGCGUGAGCGAUGAAGGCCUUCGGGUCGUAAAGCUCUGUUGUUAGGGAAGAACAAGUAUCGUUCGAAUAGGGCGGUACCUUGACGGUACCUAACCAGAAAGCCACGGCUAACUACGUG
RNAcentral lists this ribosomal RNA (498 nucleotides) under uncultured bacterium. RNAcentral describes it as "bacterial SSU rRNA". It matches the Rfam family "Bacterial small subunit ribosomal RNA", at positions 28 to 507 of the family's 1533-position model. The record is from RNAcentral.